GGGGGUGUCCUGGGUUCGACAGGUGUAUGUCUGACCUUAGCUGCAGUCGAAGGCAUUCGUUAAAUGCACAAACAAAUAACUGGAAACAGACAAACUAAUUACGCUUUCGCUUAGUCGACAUAGACAUGAAAGCUGCCACUAUUUAGCGUGCCUAUAGCUAUUUAACUGGUAUCAUAAACUCAUAGGAUAAGGGUAUUUAUUGCUUAGCUAAAUACUUCGAAAAUCUCAUAAGCUCGUUAGGUGGAAAAUUGCUCAUUGAUUGUAGCCUAAUUAAAUUAAUUCAAUGAGAUAAACUGUAGACGCUUUGGAGGGAUUAUGCUUGGACAGGGGUUCGAUUCCCCUCACCUCCACCA
Non-coding RNA from Coprobacillus sp. CAG:183, 353 nucleotides. The record is from Rfam. NCBI's taxonomy places the organism in Bacteria, Bacillati, Bacillota, Erysipelotrichia, Erysipelotrichales, Coprobacillaceae.